Molecule: long non-coding RNA, 647 nt
Filed under: Struthio camelus australis
Lineage: Eukaryota; Metazoa; Chordata; Aves; Struthioniformes; Struthionidae
Description: lncRNA (ENSSCUG00000015670.1)
Source: RNAcentral
AUGGCUGGAGCCGGCAGUGGGAGAGCAGCGCCAGUCAGCCUGACCUCACAAGACUUUGUCGUGGUGAGGAGGGGACCCUGCUGGCAAGGAACAACUCCACGGCAGGUCAAGAGCUGCUCAAGCAGAGGCUCAAUUUCAUCUGAGAAGAAUCCAGCUCAUGUCCUCCAAGACCACUCCAGGAUGUCAACCAUAACAUGGUUCCCCAGCCCAUUGGAUGACCUGCUCUGCCUGUGCAGUGGUGACACUGCUGCAGGGACAGUGGCUAAAACUGAGAGGAAGAAAUGGGAACUGCUUGAGCCAGCCUUGCCACUGAGAAAAUGUCAACACUUCUCUGUUUCUGGUCCCUACAACACUGCAGACCCAAUGUGAGAAGUACUGACUGAAGGGCUUCUGCACACAGAGCAUUAUCAUUAUCUGCAUGGAGCUGUACAAAGGCGGCAAUACCAGCCCAAAGAGAUUGCAGUCAAGAUGUGGCAGGUGGCUACUUUGUUAGAAGCCAGUGAUGGAUUAGUUUGAUGCUGACUAGAAAACCACUGAUAUAACGGUGGUGGAAGUUUGUGAGGUUAUUGACAAUGUGUGGUGGCUGCAAAACGGUCUGUCACGGGAGGCCCAGGAGGGGCAGCUGAGCCGACCGCAGAGCACCCCCA